This 377-nucleotide ribosomal RNA is filed under the name uncultured eukaryote. RNAcentral's name for it is "partial 18S ribosomal RNA". It matches the Rfam family "Eukaryotic small subunit ribosomal RNA", at positions 592 to 976 of the family's 1831-position model. The record is from RNAcentral.
CAAUAGCGUAUAUUUAAGUUGCUGCAGUUAAAAAGCUCGUAGUUGGAUUUCGGGUGGGAAUGGCCGGUCCGCCGUUUCGGUGUGCACUUGCUACGCCCACCUUGCUGCCGGGGGCGUGCUCUUGAGUUCACGCUCGGGACACGGAGUCGGCGAGGUUACUUUGAGUAAAUUAGGGUGUUCAAAGCAGGCCUACGCUCUGAAUACAUUAGCAUGGAAUAACACGAUAGGACUCUGGCCUAUCUUGUUGGUCUGUAGGACCGGAGUAAUGAUUAAGAGGGACAGUCGGGGGCAUUCGUAUUUCAUUGUCAGAGGUGAAAUUCUUGGAUUUAUGAAAGACGAACUACUGCGAAAGCAUUUGCCAAGGAUGUUUUCAUUAA